Molecule: ribosomal RNA, 253 nt
Filed under: uncultured bacterium
Lineage: Bacteria
Description: partial 16S ribosomal RNA
Rfam family: Bacterial small subunit ribosomal RNA
Source: RNAcentral
UACGUAGGGGGCAAGCGUUGUCCGGAUUUAUUGGGCGUAAAGAGCGUGUAGGCGGCCAGGGAGGUCCGUUGUGAAAACUCGAGGCUCAACCUCGAGACGCCGAUGGAAACCCCCUGGCUAGAGUCCGGAAGAGGAGAAUGGAAUUCCUGGUGUAGCGGUGAAAUGCGCAGAUAUCAGGAAGAACACCAGUGGCGAAGGCGGCUCACUGGCCCGAUACUGACGCUGAGGCACGAAAGCGUGGGGAGCAAACAGG